UUGAGAGUAGGGUUGGACUAAAAACAUCUUAAGAUAGGUUAGAUUGGUACCCGGGGGUCGACCAUUUGUGAGACAAGGUCAAAAUUAGACCUUUAGCCACUAAAAUGAGGGCCUAGGGCAAAAUAGAGGGGCAUUUGAAGCAUAGAGGUUAGGAUUUGAGAUCUAGCUUAAAGUUCUUUCCAAAGACAUAAGAAUUGUUGGGAGAAGAUUUUUGAAGACUUAGAAAUUAUUUUUCAAAGUUAGGAUUUGUAUCAGUGAUUUGAGUUUUAUAUAAUAUAAUUAGGGCUAGCAAUUUUGGCUAGUUUGUGCAAUUGGUGUGACAUCUAUGGUUAAAAAUUUGAUACUAUUUGGAUUAUUGGAUGUGCUAACUGUAUACAAAAUUUUGUGAUCAUAUAAUGGCAUGGUUUAGAGAUAUCUAGUUUUUAGCACAAGAAGAUUUCGGAAGGUGGCAGUUUGAGGUUGGAUAGGAUUUCUAUGAUAUCUGAAGAUCUAUCGAUCGGAUUAAGGUAAAAAUUGGCAUGGUAUUGAAGGACUUGAAGAUCAAGCUACACACCAAUUUUGAAACAAAGUUAACGGUUGAAAAGGAAGAAACCAUUGUUGGGAUUUUUGCUUCACUUUUGAAGUUCGUAGCAGAGUGACAUCAGUGCUAUUUUUGGAAGUUUUCUCACAAUGUGUUUAUUGGAUUGGGCUGAAAAUUUGUGAGCAUAUAGAAGACUUACAUUGACAAUUGCAUGCAAAAUUUCACAUCAAGUGGAUGGUUGGAUUGGAUGUUAUAGCUUGUUAAAGCUCACUAAUUAGGAUUGGGCUUACAAGAAAAAUCUAAAUUGCUUAAAUAUGAAAGUAAUAAGGUAAUUGGAAAUUAUGUAUAGUUAAGACUACUAAGAAGAGUAUUUCAAGUAAUUUUGAAUUGGAAUUCAGAUUAUAUUCUUUUCAUAUGGAUAAAACCUAUUAGGAUUUCUUGGCUACCUAUGAAACAUAAUCUCACCUUCCAUAACUAAGUGUCCGGUGCAUUCUUGAGCAAAACAACAUGUAAUACGACAACGACAUAGGAUUUUGCACUAUAGGUUAUAUUCUAUGAUUUUUGAAAUCUAUAGCAUCGACCUUUUUUGCAAUUAUAAUUGUAUCUUCAAAUUUUUAUAGAUUCUUUAAUUCCACCUUUCAUUGAACCACAUGUUUCAACUCUCGAACAAAUCAAUCCAUUAUCUCUGCCUCUAAAACAUUAUUAGUUUGAAGAUACAUGGACUUGAAUCACGAGAUAUAAUCUUAUAUUGACUUAGAUUAAAUAAGAUUAGC
RNAcentral lists this long non-coding RNA (1293 nucleotides) under Physcomitrium patens. Its description in RNAcentral is "long non-coding RNA (PPAT_LNC000207)". The record is from RNAcentral. Lineage: Eukaryota; Viridiplantae; Streptophyta; Bryopsida; Funariales; Funariaceae.